GACGAACGCUGGCGGCGUGCUUAACACAUGCAAGUCGAACGGGUCUGCCCUGUUUUUUGCGGGGUGGGUCAGUGGCGAACGGGUGAGUAACACGUGAGUAACCUGCCCCUCACUUCUGGAUAACCGCUUGAAAGGGUGGCUAAUACGGGGUGUUCUGGCUGUGCCGCAUGGUGUGGCUGGGAAAGAUUCACUUUUGUGGUGUUUUGGUGGGGGAUGGGCUCGCGGCCUAUCAGCUUGUUGGUGGGGUGAUGGCCUGCCAAGGCUUUGACGGGUAGCCGGCGUGAGAGGGUGGGCGGUCACACUGGGACUGAGAUACGGCCCAGACUCCGGCGGGAGGCAGCAGUGGGGGGUAUUGCACAAUGGGCGGAAGCCUGAUGCAGCGACGUCGCGUGAGGGAUGGAGGCCUUCGGGUUGUGAACCUCUUUCGCCGGUGAAGAAGGUCCUGCUCUUUGUGGUGGGGUUGACGUUAGCCGGGUUAUGAAGCGCCGGCUAACUACGG
This 499-nucleotide ribosomal RNA is filed under the name uncultured bacterium. RNAcentral describes it as "partial 16S ribosomal RNA". It matches the Rfam family "Bacterial small subunit ribosomal RNA", at positions 28 to 506 of the family's 1533-position model. The record is from RNAcentral.